GAUCGGAACGCUAGCAGCUGACCUCCCCGAGAACGCAUUUGCUCAGGCUUUCGAUGAUGCUAAUAUCAUCGUCACUAACCGAUUCAUCGAUCCCUUUUGGAGGAUCAAAAGGCUUCUUCGCGUGCAAGGAGAGGCGCGCCUGCAGCGGAGCAUCAAAGUCCUCGAUGAGUUCACCUACGACAUUAUUCGUCGGAGGAAAGCAAAGAUCAAGCUUGCACGAGCCAAGAGAAAUGGAGAUGAGGUAAUAUGACCUGAUACGCUCCUGCUUUGAUCUGGUUGCCAUCCUAGAACUCUGUUCUUGCUUCUGCAACAGAUGAAGCAUGAUCUGCUGUCGAGGUUCAUCGAGCUCGGCGAGGGCGACGGCAGCAUCUUCAGCGACGACAAGAGCCUCAGAGAUGUGGUCCUUAACUUUGUGAUCGCAGGAAGGGACACGACGGCGGCGACGCUGUCAUGGUUCAUCUACAUGGUGAUGACACACCCUGGUGUGGCCGAGAAGCUCCAUGACGAGGUCAGGGCAUUCGAAGAAGAGCGCGCCAAGGAAGAAGGUGUUGCGCUACUGGUCGAGGCUUUCGAUGACAGGAUGACGCAGUUUGCUGGCUUCCUCAGCUAUGAUUCCAUGGGAAGAUUGGCUUACCUCCAUGCAUGCAUCUCAGAGACUCUCAGACUGUACCCUGCAGUUCCUCAGGUGAUCGAUCCCAUUCCAUGGCCUGCAAACCUGCACAGAUAACUUGCAAUCAAUCUUCAUCAUGUAACCGUGAGUGAGAGAAUGCAGGAUCCUAAAGGAAUUCUGAAGGAUGAUGUACUACCAGAUGGAACAAAGGUGAAAGCAGGUGACAUGGUUACCUAUGUUCCCUAUGUCAUGGGGAGAAUGGAGUACAACUGGGGACCUGAUGCAGCACUGUACAAACCUGAGAGGUGGUUCAAGGAUGGGAUAUUGCAGACCGUCUCCCCAUUCAAGUUCACAGCAUUCCAGGUACAUCCACCAUGGAAAUCGAAAGCUCAC
Molecule: long non-coding RNA, 1003 nt
Filed under: Musa acuminata (dwarf banana)
Lineage: Eukaryota; Viridiplantae; Streptophyta; Magnoliopsida; Zingiberales; Musaceae
Description: long non-coding RNA (MACU_LNC004550)
Source: RNAcentral